GGAAGUUCUGCUGCAUGUUUCCAGGCAUGUUAUUUGACCAUCCGGAAUUUGGGGGCAUUCCUCCCAUGUUCGGUGGUGGUGAGUAGCUGUUUGGUGGUGGUGGGUAGCUGUUUGGUGCUGGUGGUCCAGCCGAGUAGUUAUGAGGCGGCGGUGGUGGAGGUCCAGCUGAGAAAUUUUGAUGUGGUGAUGGUGGAGGUCCAGCUGAGUAAUUUUGAGGAGGCGGUGGUGGAGGUCCAGCCGAGUAGUUGUGAGGAGGUGGUGGUGGAGGUCCACCUGGUCCACUCAUGUUGUUUACCACUUGAUUAUCCAUUGAAGCUGCUCUUGUGCUCUGGAAAUCUCGGUUCUGCACAUUUUCCCUUCUUCUUUCAAAGUUUCUUGAUCGAUCAAAGUUCCGAGGCCUAUCAUUGCGCCUAUUU
This 416-nucleotide long non-coding RNA is filed under the name Jatropha curcas. Its description in RNAcentral is "long non-coding RNA (JCUR_LNC001488)". The record is from RNAcentral. Lineage: Eukaryota; Viridiplantae; Streptophyta; Magnoliopsida; Malpighiales; Euphorbiaceae.